UCAUUGCUUUAGCAUUAUUCAGUUGCUCACUUGCUUCCUUGAUGUCCAGUGGUUAGAGAGAACCUUCCAUGAUGUGGAAAUACACAAAAGAUCACCUUAAAUCUUGGAGCUUCUAGGAUUUAGUAGUGGAAUUCCGAGAUAAGAAUUUAACACUGGACGUUCUAGGAGUGCUAGCGCCAAAUGAGCUAGCUGAUCUUGUUCCAGAUGUUCUAAGGAGAUCUGAAUUUUGGAGAAACUUCUAGUCAUGGAAUGACGAUUUCAAAAAAAUGGAGAACAGCCGGAAUUCAUCGCCACUAGUUGACUUCAGAGCAAUUGUAGAUCCAGAGCUAUAUGAUCCAGAUACCAGUGUAACAAGCAUUGGAGCCUCAGAGUUUGAAAUGGAAAGGAUGAUAAGGAGUGAGCCAGCAUCAUGUAUCAGCACUCCAAUCAGUAUUAUGUUUUAACUACAGAAAAAUUAAUAUUUUCAUAGUGACUUGGUAAUCUUUGGAAGUUUUAUAUAUUAAUAUUAAUUUCUUAAUCUUGAAUUUAUUUUUUUUAUUUUUGAUGAAAUUUGUAUUUCAUGACAACCAUUAUGUUCUACCUACAGAAAAAUGGAUAUUUUCUUAGUGACUUGGUAAUCUUUGGAACUUUUGUAGUAUUAUACUUGAGUAUAAAUGACAUAUUGUGAAUUGUCUGAAUAAUAAGGUAAACUGUUUCUGUUUUCUUUUUAAAUAUACACUGUC
This is a long non-coding RNA of Nilaparvata lugens (brown planthopper), 722 nucleotides long. RefSeq lists it as uncharacterized. The transcript has 3 exons. The record is from RefSeq and is a predicted model, not a curated record. Lineage: Eukaryota; Metazoa; Arthropoda; Insecta; Hemiptera; Delphacidae.